Non-coding RNA from Ciona savignyi (Pacific transparent sea squirt), 72 nucleotides. Lineage: Eukaryota; Metazoa; Chordata; Ascidiacea; Phlebobranchia; Cionidae. The record is from Rfam.
UCCUCGUUAGUAUAGUGGUGAGUAUCCCCGCCUGUCACGCGGGAGACCAGGGUUCGAUUCCCCGACGGGGAG